RNAcentral lists this ribosomal RNA (253 nucleotides) under uncultured bacterium. RNAcentral's name for it is "partial 16S ribosomal RNA". It matches the Rfam family "Bacterial small subunit ribosomal RNA", at positions 524 to 776 of the family's 1533-position model. The record is from RNAcentral.
GACGUAGGGCGCGAGCGUUGUCCGGAUUUAUUGGGCGUAAAGAGCUCGUAGGCGGCUUGUCGCGUCGACUGUGAAAACCCGCGGCUCAACCUCGAGACGUCGGCGGAAACCAUCUGGCUAGAGUCCGGAAGAGGAGAGUGGAAUUCCUGGUGUAGCGGUGAAAUGCGCAGAUAUCAGGAAGAACACCCGUGGCGAAGGCGGCUCUCUGGGACGGUACUGACGCUGAGACGCGAAAGCCAGGGGAGCGAACGGG